This 336-nucleotide unclassified non-coding RNA is filed under the name soil metagenome. RNAcentral describes it as "partial contains 5.8S ribosomal RNA, internal transcribed spacer 2, and large subunit ribosomal RNA". The stretch from base 1 to 120 matches the Rfam family "5.8S ribosomal RNA", at positions 35 to 154 of the family's 154-position model. The record is from RNAcentral.
GAUGAAGAACGUAGCGAAAUGCGAUAAGUAAUGUGAAUUGCAGAAUUCAGUGAAUCAUCGAAUCUUUGAACGCACAUUGCGCCCCUUGGUAUUCCAUGGGGCAUGCCUGUUCGAGCGUCAUUUGUACCCUCAAGCACUGCUUGGUGUUGGGUGUUUGUCCCGCUUUGCGCGUGGACUCGCCUUAAAGCAAUUGGCAGCCGGCAGAUUGGCCUGGAUCGCGAGCACAUUUUGCGACCUUGUCAUAACUGUUUGGCACCCAUCAAGACUAUUUUUUGCUCUUGACCUCGGAUCAGGUAGGGAUACCCGCUGAACUUAAGCAUAUCAAUAAGCGGAGGA